RNAcentral lists this long non-coding RNA (4021 nucleotides) under Theobroma cacao (cacao). RNAcentral's name for it is "long non-coding RNA (TCAC_LNC001475)". The record is from RNAcentral. Lineage: Eukaryota; Viridiplantae; Streptophyta; Magnoliopsida; Malvales; Malvaceae.
UUACCUCCUACCCUCCCCACGGAUGAUCUUCCUUAAUAACAGAGUUUUCCAACACUCUUCUUCUGUACAACAAAACAGAGAUCAGAGACAGGUUUGGUUAGAAAGAGAGGAAGGGAAAGAAAGGGGUGAUUCCAUUUCAGUGCUUAGCCAGACCAAAUGGAUGCUCUCUUACAUUCUCUGUAAGUAUGCUGCUUUUUACAUUCUUGUUUUUCUUAUGUUUCCUUUGGUUUUCUCCUCUUCGAAAGAAAGAGAAAACAUCAGUUUGAUAAUGCUCCGAUUUCUGGAAGAUAUGGAAAUAUUGCAUUAAAAUUGGCUUGCUAUCUCAAGUGUUCUCUGCAAUUUUUUUUUGCCUGUUCUUUUCAGUGUACGGGUUUUCCAAAGAUCCAAAACGAUUCAAGUUCAUGAUUCCAUUGCUACCUAGCUACCUGCAUCGUGUUUUUCAUCUGUAACAAACUGUCACAUCUUCUGUCUAUUUAGAUUUCAUAAUGGAUGAACUCAAAUUGGGGAAAUUGUAUAAGAAAAGAGUCAGAGAGAGCUAAUAAUGCACACCAAAGCCAAAACACAUUUUCACUCAAAUCACAUCGAGUAUCAUUACAUUAGAAAUCAGGAUAGAAAACCACAAAAAACUUAUUCUAUACCCUCUGCACACCGGACAACAUCAAAUAGGAAUCGAAUCAAGUGGUUAAUCCUCCUUCACUAUGACUUUUUUUUCUUCCUCUGUUUCUUUUAUCAUAUGUAGGCAAGCUGCCAAUGUAUAAUUACACUCUAAGGAUUUUAUAUAGAAGGUUCUGUACAAAAUCACAAAUCAAGGACAAAAACUGGAUCAGAAGGAUGGAAGAAGAGAUACCCGAAACCGCUCCGGAUGAGAUGACAAACAAAAGAAUGACACACACUAACAAGCACACACUGUUUUUAAUGUGAGUAUUAAGGUAGUACUCUCUAGUAGGAAAAAAGGGAAAUUAGAAGAGAAAAAUUAAUGGGGCUCAGGACAUCUUAUUGGAUGUGUCUGAGCUAGAAUGCACCAAAACAUUCUAAGCCAGUAGCUGGGAAUGCAGAUCAUUAAAUGCCUUGUUGUAAAAUUCCAGGCCAAGAUGGCUGCAAUCCUAGGAUGAAAAAAAAUGGAUGAAAACUCAACAUGAGCUAUGUUGCUCAAGGGAACGAAUGAUGAGAUAUAUUGACUAUAGACCAAUGUUGUUUUCAGUAUAAGAGAUGAUCAGAGGUUUGUUAUAGACUAUGGAGGAGGACUCGUUUGCAAGGUGGUGGUUGUGAAAGAUUGUUUCCUGGAUUAGGAGAAGGGGACUCCAUUCCAAGUGUCUUAAGUAGGAAGUUCCUUUCCUGAAAAAGAAACAAAAACAUAGUGGUCAGUCUCAUAUGAAAGUUCGAGAUAAUGUUCCUGCAGGUGUGUACGCUAGCAUUUCUAUAUUAGAUUAAGAAAAGGAAAAAACAAUACAAGUAGUGCAGAACUCUAUUUUGAGUUUCACAUGCUCACACUUUUAGAGCAAAACCAUAUAUAAGAGGGGAACAGACCGGAGGAAAUUUAUGAGUAAAUGGAAUUGCAGCAUGGACUGAACCAGUAUUACAACUUGAGCAUGAAUAAAACUCUAAAAUGUUUUUCAAAAUAAAAAUUUCCAGUUUAAAAAAUCCUUAUUGGAUUGGUUAGAAAUUUGUCAUCCAGACUAUACUUUCUAGCACGAUGGAGGAAAGUAUGAUUCAGUUAAGUAACUUCUUUUUUACUAUCAAGGAGCACUAUGAUCAAAGCUCACUUUGGCAAAAACCAGAAUCCUAGUUGGCCUCACUAUGUUUCUUAGCAUUUUUCUUAGAGCUUAGAUGGGCUGUUGUCUUGAGAUGAUGACACCUAGGCAAUAACUCACAGAAAUUUUGGGGUGUAGACAUGUAGUUGAAUUACAUACUCAUCUGACUAUUAAUUCAGUGAUUAGUUACUAAUACUUAAAAUAUCUUGCACAUACACCACGGUCAAUUGGUGGUUUCUCCACUUAAAUGUAGAAAACGUGGAUAACUACAAAUAAUGAGAAAAAUUUAUGAGUGGUAAACCAUUGAUGAAGAAAUGGGAAAAGCCUAUUGUAUAAAUAUGCGAGGGAAAAGAGAGAUAGAGAGACACAGCACAAGAAAAAAUGCUUAAUGGAAUUUGGUUUUCAGAAAGCACUCUGCAGUCCUUGUUAUUCUCUAAUCUACCCUUUUUUUCUCCCUUUUCACUCUGUAAUCUACAUUUUUUUUUGUUUAUUUAGUUUUUUUCUUAGUAUUUGGUAUGGCAGUUUCUGCAAAUAUAGCUGUAUAGUGUAUUUAGAAAUGAAAUGUUACUCUCUGAUUUGCCUGGCUGUUUGUUUUUUUCUAAUUGAUAGUGUUUUAAUUUGUGAUAGCAGGAACUUCAAUUUGACUCUGGUUUAAAAUUUUGGGCCACUUCAAUUUCAGACAAGAAUCUAGUAACAGCUUUGCCAUUAUCAUUUCCACAGAUGCUUUCAGCACUAGCCACAAAAGUUACUAAUGCCUUGCCAGUUUGUUAACUCAAAGUGCUCCUAACACUAUUUGACUAACGAGUUCAAAGUCCUAGCAAUGGUUCAAACAACCUCUUAACGGUGGCUGAGAAGUAUAUGAAAGUUCUGCUGCUACUGCUGGUAUAAAUAGAUGCAUAACUAUUAAUCCACACUGGUAUUGUUCUUGGUAGGCUAGGCACUGAUAAGCUCACAACUCCACUACAAGUAUAAGUGCAGAUGGAAUUAAAGUCUUAAGAAAGAUAAAACAAGAACUAGUACCUGCUACUGCAACUUAUAUUAUCUGCUAGAGCUCCAAUUCUUAUAAAAUGGAUCUGUAGUUGGUAGAAUCAACAAUUCAAGAUAACUUACACUUUCCGAAAAUUUUGGGCUGGGAAUUCCUGCUGCUAGAGAUCUGAAAAGUGGGGUGACUUGGACUGGGGAACUGAAGUCUGCACUUGAUGAGGUAGAAGCAACUACAAUGUUUGUUUGGUCAUCACAAGAUGGGAUUAUCUCGACUGUGGUAAUAUAAGACAUUUCAUCAGAAACAUUAUCUUUUUUUAUCCACUUUAUAGUCAAUAAACAAGGUAUCCUAGGCCUUUAUACCAGAUAUAGAAUUUCAUUACCAUGAUCUGUGUUUGCACUGGAAAGAGCACCUUUCUCCUGUUCACUACCACAAUUUUGCUCUCCAAUAUGACUUGACAGUAUAUCCUGGUGCAGUGCAUGUAUCUUAACUUGAGUUUCUUCUCCUUUUUGCCCAGCCAGAUGAGGCAUCAGCGUUGACCCUGUACUGUAUUCAGAGCUGGCUGGAGAUGCCUCAUACAGAUCAGGUUGCCUAGAACAUAGUAAUCACUAGUUAGUGUUAAGUAAGAAAUUUUUCUAAAUCUGAAUGCAAGUCAACUGAUUUUUCUGUUACCUCCAAGAUGGUCGACUUCCCUCGUUACUGCUCCUUAAAUCCUCUAGCAAGUCUUUGAAAUCUUCAAGUUGAAAAUCAAUAUCAGAGAUUGUAUAUCUGAAGAUGUCAUUUUCUUUACUCUGAUUCAAAAAGUCUUGGAGAACCUGAAUAUAACAUAGGAUGAAGGUUAGGGACAUGUAAUGCAUAAAAUGGACUGUUAGCCCCAGGGUAUUUAAGAAUUAGCACUGUACUAAUUUUGAAGGUACUGUGAUGAUCAUAUUUGAUAUUGACAACACGAAAACAUAUAGGAAAUACAAAAUUACUUCUCACCUUCCAAGCAUUUUCCAGACUCUGUUCUGUAUUAUCUGUGUUAACUUUCAAUGCAAGUGAGCUGAGUAGCUCUGCUUGCUGCAUCAAAGCAGUUAUCUUCGGAUCAUCCUUUUUGAGAAAUGUUCCUUGAGUUCUAUUAUUCUGAGCUGCUAAUGAAUAAAGGAGAAAGAGAAUAUAAGUGUUAUAUUAUGAACAACUUCAAAGGAGUGAUUUGCUAUUGUCAAAAUUUCUCUUUGCAGGUCUGGUAAGAGUAAGAGCAACAGAAUCAAGUGCCGAUGCCAAGAAGUUUUUGCUUGAGGAGAUUUAC